UACGUAGGGGGCAAGCGUUGUCCGGAAUCAUUGGGCGUAAAGAGCGUGUAGGCGGCCCGAUAAGUCCGCUGUGAAAGUCCAGGGCUCAACCCUGGAAUGCCGGUGGAUACUGUCGGGCUCGAAUCCGGAAGAGGUGAGUGGAAUUCCUGGUGUAGCGGUGGAAUGCGCAGAUAUCAGGAGGAACACCAAUGGCGAAGGCAGCUCGCUGGGACGGUACUGACGCUGAGGUGCGAAAGCGUGGGGAGCGAACAGG
Molecule: ribosomal RNA, 253 nt
Filed under: uncultured bacterium
Lineage: Bacteria
Description: partial 16S ribosomal RNA
Rfam family: Bacterial small subunit ribosomal RNA
Source: RNAcentral